Molecule: ribosomal RNA, 406 nt
Filed under: uncultured bacterium
Lineage: Bacteria
Description: partial 16S ribosomal RNA
Rfam family: Bacterial small subunit ribosomal RNA
Source: RNAcentral
AUUGAACGCUGGCGGCAGGCCUAACACAUGCAAGUCGGGCGAGUGGCGGACGGGAGAGUACUGCAUGGGGAUCUGGCUGAUGGAGGGGGAUAACUACGGGAAACUGUAGCUAAUACCGCAUACCAUAGGAUGAGCCCAUAUGGGAUUGGGGAGUUGGUAAGGUAAAGGCGUACCAGGCCGACGAUCCCUAGCUGGUCUGAGAGGAUGACCAGCCACACUGGGACUGAGACACGGCCCAGACUCCUACGGGAGGCAGCAGUGGGGAAUAUUGCACAAUGGGCGCAAGCCUUACGCAGCCAUGCCGCGUGUAUGAAGAAGGCCUUCGGGUUGUAAAGGACUUUCAGUGGGGAGGCGUUACCCACAGAAGAAGCACCGGCUAACUCCGUGCCAGCAGCCGCGGUAAUAC